GGUGACGUGUCUGAGCGGCCGAAAGAGCUCGCCUCGAAAGCGAGUGUAGGGAGACCUACCGCGGGUUCAAAUCCCGCCGUCACCGCCG
This 88-nucleotide transfer RNA is filed under the name Propionibacteriaceae bacterium ES.041. Its description in RNAcentral is "tRNA-Ser". It matches the Rfam family "tRNA". Rfam says of the family: Transfer RNA (tRNA) molecules are approximately 80 nucleotides in length. Their secondary structure includes four short double-helical elements and three loops (D, anti-codon, and T loops). Lineage: Bacteria; Bacillati; Actinomycetota; Actinomycetes; Propionibacteriales; Propionibacteriaceae. The record is from RNAcentral.